Molecule: ribosomal RNA, 426 nt
Filed under: uncultured bacterium
Lineage: Bacteria
Description: partial 16S ribosomal RNA
Rfam family: Bacterial small subunit ribosomal RNA
Source: RNAcentral
GUGAGGAAUUUUCCGCAAUGGGCGAAAGCCUGACGGAGCAAUGCCGCGUGAAGGAUGAAGGCCUAUGGGUUGUAAACUUCUUUUCUCAGAAAAGAAUUAUGACGGUAUCUGAGGAAUAAGCAUCGGCUAACUCUGUGCCAGCAGCCGCGGUAAGACAGAGGAUGCAAGCGUUAUCCGGAAUGAUUGGGCGUAAAGCGUCUGUAGGUUGUUUAAAAAGUAUUCUGUCAAAGAUUAGGGCUUAACCCUAGAUAGGCAGAAUAAACUUUUAAGCUAGAGUUUGGUAGAGGCAGAGUGAAUUCCCGGUGGAGCGGUGAAAUGCGUAGAUAUCGGGAGGAACACCAAAGGCGAAGGCACUCUGCUGGGCCAAUACUAACACUGAGAGACGAAAGCGAGGGGAGCAAAUGGGAUUAGAAACCCCUGUAGUCC